UUGGGAAUAUUGGACAAUGGGCGAAAGCCUGAUCCAGCAAUGCCGCGUGAAUGAUGAAGGCCUUCGGGUCGUAAAGUUCUUUCAGCAGGGACGAAGGGAAACUUGACGGUACCUGCAGAAGAAGCACCGGCUAACUCCGUGCCAGCAGCCGCGGUAAUACGGAGGGUGCAAGCGUUGUUCGGAAUCAUUGGGCGUAAAGCGCGUGUAGGCGGUCACUUAAGUCUGGUGUGAAAUCCCGGGGCUCAACCCCGGAAGUGCAUUGGAUACUGGGUGGCUAGAGGACGAGAGAGGGAAGCGGAAUUCCUGGUGUAGGGGUGAAAUCCGUAGAUAUCAGGAGGAACAUCGGUGGCGAAGGCGGCUUCCUGGCUCGUACCUGACGCUGAGACGCGAGAGCGUGGGUAGCAAACAG
Molecule: ribosomal RNA, 409 nt
Filed under: uncultured bacterium
Lineage: Bacteria
Description: bacterial SSU rRNA
Rfam family: Bacterial small subunit ribosomal RNA
Source: RNAcentral